CAGUGGGUAGCUGAACAAAAGUGCAGGUAUAUUAAAAGAAAACAUUUUUUUAAGUUUGACAUCAAUUGUGUAUAUGGAGUUGGAUUGGUAUCAGUUAUUCUUCUAUACUAACAUAAUAUGGCUAAAAAUAGCAGUAUAGACACAGCAGCAUGGCUGUAAGAGCGCAGUGGGGGCCCUGAGUAUGUUGCGUUGCUAGCCUGUGCUAAACCCCCUGCUGCCACAUCUAUGCUGCUGCUGUUUGCAUGGGUAUAUCCUUGGAUACAAUUUUGGAAACAAUGAAUCAGAGUUCUGAGGGGAACGGGCUGAGAGCUCUGGGUACUCAGAGAAAGGGAAGCGACACUAUGUACCUACAACUCCCCAUAGCAGCCUUUUGUUCAUCAAGGUUUAAAGUCAUUUUAAUGGUCAUGUUCAUAGUUUUGAGAUGUCUCAGGAAACUGGGAUUUUACAACUAUGUUAAAGAAUUAAAUGUUGAUCUAAUUCAUGCAGAAAUAGAUAUCCUCUGGUGACCUGGGUACUGUAUAAUGCAUUUGUACAUAUUUUUCCUUUUGUGAUGUUGAUGGGUACUUCUCAGAAUUUUGACAUCCACAAGCUUUCUGCCAUAAGAAAACCUUGUUUACAUGUCUCACACGGUAGUGUGGAAGAAGUUAAACACUUCUUUUGUACUGAGAGAUAUUUAUGCCAUUGCAACACUUGUGUUGUAUUAUUCAACAGUGGUGAAGCUAUACCUCCUUUUAAUAUUUAUCUGGUCAUUUUCUUGCAAGUUCUGUACAAGCUUGAUAAGAACAAGAAACAGCUUGUUGUAGCUGUAGAAAGUUUCCUUAUUUGGGUGUGUAAUGUAAAAACUCUUACUAAACCUACUGAGGGGGAGUGUUUGUUUUUAGAUUUGUUCAGUCAAAAUUUUAAAUGUCACAGCUCAAAUUAAUGUUGAUAAUUGCUUUAGCAGUAAAUUUUAGAAUACCAGAAAGGAAAUCAAGACUAGCCUAGAGUAGGAUAGUCACAAACAACAAUUAACUUUUUCAAAAACACUUCUAUCUGCUGCUGUUUUACACUUUGAAAGGAAUAAAAUACUUUGUACAUACAGAUGAUACACUGGAAAAACUAACAAAGAAUGCUAGCACACUGUCAAUUUCUAAUAUCCAGUUUUAUAGAGCAUGUACAAAACAGAGGACUAAUGUCAUGCUCUUCCAAAUUUUGCUCUAGACCUAUUGCUGUAUACGCGGGCACUUAGGUCAUCUUAACUACACUGCUCAGGCAUAUGGAUUUCUUCACACCCAUGCCAAAUGUAGUGAAAUUGAUUAAUCUUUUUAGUGUAGACCAGUCUCUAAUGUAGGAUCACAACUUCCCCAAAUGACCAUUAGCUAUGUUGACAGAAGCACUAUAAUGGCUAAGUUAUAUCUACAGUGAGGUUGCUUUUGUUUAUUUUUCCUGGCAUAGUUAUGAUGGCUACAGGAUUGUGUAGUUCCCACCUCCUCCUGGAUUGCCAUUGCUAUGUGACCUAGCUUUGAAGUGUAGAUCUAGCCUUAGAGAUAAUCAAAAUUCAUGACCUCUUGCUGAAAUUGCAUUUUUUUAAAGUUAGUACUUAAAAUUAAGAUAAAACUACCCUGGACACAAAACUGAGUAACUUUGUCUGAACUAAGUUAAGUCACACAGGGGGAAAAAAAUACACAAAUGAGGGAAACUUUGAAGUUGUAUAUUUUCUAGCUGCACAGAACAAUAUAUUUGUACAAAAGAUGUCUUGGGUACUCUGACUGUUGCAUGAGUAGCUGAAAUACAAAGACACUUUUAAAAAUCAUUUUUAUAAAACCCCCAAAAAACAGAGUCAGAGGAAGAUAAGCCAGAAUAGGCAAACAGGAGCAAAGUCUUCAUUACAAGAGUUAAAUAUAAAUUAUUUUCUUUGGACAAUUAAAAUACAUCCCUGCUAUACAUAUAAAGACACCUUUGUUAAAUAGAAUGCCUCGGUCAGGUGGUACAUUUAAUAAAAAUACAUUUGAUUUGAAAAAUAUAAACAUUAAAUUAUUUUUUUACGAAAAUCUGUAAGAACAGCAGUGCUUCCCAAAGUUGUCAUGUCGAAAGUAUCACUUCACAUUUUGCUAGGUUCUGAACAGUUCAAUUACACAUUUCAAGCCUUAUGUGUCCGUAUUUCUGAUUGGACUAAUGUUUCAGAAGUGUGUCUGAUAUAUCAAAUAGGAAAAUGUAGCUUUUAGUUCUAGGUUUGGUCUAGCUUUCAACAUACUGUUUUUUCAUAUACAGUAACACAGCUGAAGCAGAGAAACAAAAGUCAGUUCAUCACAGUGAUAUUCCACCAAAAGCACAGAAGUGCAAGACUUUUAAGAUUGCACACUAAAUACACACAAUAUUUCAAAAAGAAAAAAAGUCUUCCUUUUCUAUUGAGAUACUAGAAACACUAAAAGUUGGUAAACCUAAACUUGACCUACUUUAAAAAAGAGUCUGAAAGUCUAUUUGGUUUAAUUUCCGUCAUUCCCCACCACCAACUUUUAAUUUUUUUAAUAGCAAAACCCACCAGCAGUUUUUGCAGUAGCAUUCUAUGAACAACCCUGCUCAAUCCUCCAGAUAUGUGUUGAAGGAGAAAACUUCUUUCAAUUUCAAA
Pelodiscus sinensis (Chinese soft-shelled turtle) is the source of this 2608-nucleotide non-coding RNA. NCBI's taxonomy places the organism in Eukaryota, Metazoa, Chordata, Testudines, Trionychidae. The record is from RefSeq and is a predicted model, not a curated record.